AAGUAAAAGUCGUAACAAGGUUUCCGUAGGUGAACCUGCGGAAGGAUCAUUAAAGAGUAAGGGUGCUCAGCGCCCGACCUCCAACCCUUUGUUGUUAAAACUACCUUGUUGCUUUGGCGGGACCGCUCGGUCUCGAGCCGCUGGGGAUUCGUCCCAGGCGAGCGCCCGCCAGAGUUAAACCAAACUCUUGUUAUUAAACCGGUCGUCUGAGUUAAAAUUUUGAAUAAAUCAAAACUUUCAACAACGGAUCUCUUGGUUCUCGCAUCGAUGAAGAACGCAGCGAAAUGCGAUAAGUAAUGUGAAUUGCAGAAUUCAGUGAAUCAUCGAAUCUUUGAACGCACAUUGCGCCCCUUGGUAUUCCGAGGGGCAUGCCUGUUCGAGCGUCAUUACACCACUCAAGCUAUGCUUGGUAUUGGGUGCCGUCCUUAGUUGGGCGCGCCUUAAAGACCUCGGCGAGGCCUCACCGGCUUUAGGCGUAGUAGAAUUUAUUCGAACGUCUGUCAAAGGAGAGGACUUCUGCCGACUGAAACCUUUAUUUUUCUAGGUUGACCUCGGAUCAGGUAGGGAUACCCGCUGAACUUAAGCA
This 586-nucleotide ribosomal RNA is filed under the name aff. Aureobasidium sp. Its description in RNAcentral is "eukaryotic LSU rRNA". The stretch from base 233 to 386 matches the Rfam family "5.8S ribosomal RNA". The record is from RNAcentral. Lineage: Eukaryota; Fungi; Ascomycota; Dothideomycetes; Dothideales; Saccotheciaceae.